Molecule: ribosomal RNA, 253 nt
Filed under: uncultured bacterium
Lineage: Bacteria
Description: partial 16S ribosomal RNA
Rfam family: Bacterial small subunit ribosomal RNA
Source: RNAcentral
UACGUAGGGUGCGAGCGUUGUCCGGAAUUAUUGGGCGUAGAGGGCUCGUAGGCGGUUUGUCGCGUCGGGAGUGAAAACCAUGGGCUUAACUCAUGGCUUGCUUUCGAUACGGGCAGACUAGAGGUAUGCAGGGGAGAACGGAAUUCCUGGUGUAGCGGUGAAAUGCGCAGAUAUCAGGAGGAACACCGGUGGCGAAGGCGGGACUCUGGGCCGAUACUGACGCUGAGGAGCGAAAGCGUGGGGAGCAAACAGG